Non-coding RNA from Musa acuminata subsp. malaccensis (wild Malaysian banana), 1450 nucleotides. Lineage: Eukaryota; Viridiplantae; Streptophyta; Magnoliopsida; Zingiberales; Musaceae. The record is from RefSeq and is a predicted model, not a curated record.
CGGGGGAUUCUUCUCGGUACCGACACCCGCGCACAGAGCGCGGGAGUGACGAGGUGGACAGCAGGCAGGGUGAUGGAAACGGAAGGGGAGCGGGAGAGGGCGGCGGCGGGGAGUCAGAGAGGGAGCCCGCAGCUCGUAGUGAACGACGAUCUCCUUUAGAUGGCGAAGAAGGACACCUGGCGUUCAGCUCUCGCAAAGCCCGGCAAUGGCGUCAUCUCCUUCCACGACGACAAAUUCAACUGGAAAUCGCCAAGUGAAGAAGAUGAUUCCAAACACCAUGGUGUUGCAGCACAGAGAUUUUGCUAGGGAGUUGAAAUAGCAGUCUCAAAACGUGUGACUAUGUUAGGCCAGUAAAAGCCAUCCGUGAAUCUGAGGUGCUGUAGAACUGCAUGUUUGAGCCGGUUUCCAUGGGCCUGUAUUGCUUUAACUACUCCUUGCAUUACCUGUUGGUGCAUCAAAUGUAAACUCAGUGGUAAGAUUUGAAUGAUUUCUUGGUUAUGGAUUACUUAUGGAUGAUUUAUCUGUAGCCUUGUCUAACGAACAGGAGUAAAGACAAAGUCUACCGAUCUGGAAAUUCAGCUAACUGUGCCUAUUUUCUUGUGUUUAGAUAUUUGAGACUAUGUCGAUCAAUUAUUCGUAUGGAUCGCCAAACGUAACUAGGAUGUUGGUUAUUCAAAAUUUCAUCAAUGCUUUGAAAAACUAGAGCAAGGAGAAAGUCGGACUUAAGUUAGCAAAUCUGGAAUGUUCUGCUAAUCCCUCCAUGCAACAUGAUGAGUAACCAAGAAGGAAUUCACGGCGACUUUGGCUUGAUGAUAGUGAAUUGAAAUAUGAUGUUUUUUAUGCCUGUGUUUGUGACAUGAAAUUUUAUGUUUGCAGGCAUGAGCCUUUUGUUCAUCUAAGCCUCUCAAGUGAAAAAAAAUGCAAUAUGCUGCACUGAACAGGUGAGUUGAAUUAGAGACAUGUUCAUGCUGAGCAUCAAAUAGACACUUUCGAUGAGGUUUGUGUAGAUGGCCAUCAGACUAAUGUACUAAACCUUGUUAUUACCUUGAUUCAGGAGGGAUAGCUGCAGCUGGUGAGGGUACCAAAUUGGUAUAUGUGCCUGCUCCCCUGGCAGAGGUUGUGAAGGCCAUGAAGCUUCUCUCAUGGAUGUUUAAAUGCCUGGAGCAGAGUCAUAUGUGUUGCAAGAAGGCAUGUCUUACACCCUCUUUGCAGGAACUGGUUCUUAGCCUUUCCCUUGAGGUUUCUUCACACCGACGUGUGGACGAAGCAAAGCAGGCAAAGUCGGGGUUUGAGCCAUGGAAAGGAUCUUCAUUUUCUCGGAAGCUUCUACUUUGAGCUAUGUGGUCGUUAUAUAAAAUGGAAAAGUGUCCUCUCGAUAUCAAUCAAUAUUAGAUGUUUUUUUUCAUAUUUUCUUGGAUAAUUUUGUGCUUGGCCUUUGUUACUUGUAUAA